Molecule: non-coding RNA, 355 nt
Organism: Xyrichtys novacula (pearly razorfish)
Lineage: Eukaryota; Metazoa; Chordata; Actinopteri; Labriformes; Labridae
Source: the annotation of a GenBank genome assembly
CUCCUGUCAGUCAUUCAGUAUCUUUGUCACGGGGGGCGCGCACAGGCACACGUAGGCGCGCACAGGCACACAGACAGACUUUUGGAUACAGUGCUGCAAGUGAGUGAAAAGCAAGCAAACAGAAUGAACACGACAGCUUUGGUGUCUAAACCGAACGCAACAGCCCAAGUGUAGGAAUAUUUCGGCUUUAAACCAAAUGAAAGAGGUGAGCCCACAAAUACAGACGAGCCGAUAUGUCGUAUUUGUUCCAAAGUUGUGGUGACAAAGAAAGGGAAUACGACGAACAUGCAUGCGCACCUCAGGCACAAUCAUCCCCUCCAUUUUUCCCAACUGAGCAAAAAAAGUUCCGCCAGAG